ACGGAAGGCAGCAGUGAGGAAUAUUGGGCAAUGGGCGAAAGCCUGACCCAGCGACGCCGCGUGAGGGAAGAAGAUCUUCGGAUUGUAAACCUUAGUCAACAGGGAAGUAGCAAGUGACGGUACCUGUGGAGGAAGCCACGGCUAACUACGUGCCAGCAGCCGCGGUAAUACGUAGGUGGCGAGCGUUAUCCGGAUUUACUGGGUGUAAAGGGAGCGCAGGCGGUACGGCAAGUCUGAUGUGAAAGCCCGGGGCUCAACCCCGGUACUGCAUUGGAAACUGUCGAACUAGAGUGUCGGAGGGGUAAGUGGAAUUCCUAGUGUAGCGGUGAAAUGCGUAGAUAUUAGGAGGAACACCAGUGGCGAAGGCGGCUUACUGGACGAUCACUGACGCUGAGGCUCGAAAGCGUGGGGAGCAAACAGGAUUAGAUACCCUGGUA
This 437-nucleotide ribosomal RNA is filed under the name uncultured Lachnospiraceae bacterium. RNAcentral describes it as "partial 16S ribosomal RNA". It matches the Rfam family "Bacterial small subunit ribosomal RNA", at positions 341 to 792 of the family's 1533-position model. The record is from RNAcentral. Lineage: Bacteria; Bacillati; Bacillota; Clostridia; Lachnospirales; Lachnospiraceae.